CAGUGUCGCCCCUGUACAGUCACAACGGUUAGUUUUCGAAUCCUAACGGCUAGUUUCAGUGGGAUGAGUAUAUAUACCCAUCCCACUGCUUCUGGUCGUGCUGCUGAUGCUUCAGAUUUUCCAAAGCCAUUCCAAAGCCUCUCCCCAACCCUCUCUUUGUGAGAGUGAAGUGCUUAGUGCACAAUUUAGUGUCGGGGCUGUGUGAUUAAGAGCUUGAGAGUAGAUUAGAGCAAUCCUAACCUUGAGCACUUGCUGGGCUUCGUCGAUAUUCGUUGUGCAUUUGUUACUCUUGGAGGUGAAUGAAGCCUCCUAGACGGCUAGGCGUUGCCCGGCUAGCUCCCGUGCUUGUGGUGAGCAGCGGGACAGUUUGUAAGUUCUUCUUGCAGCUAGUGAAAUCACCCCUCCUUCAAGAGGUAACACUCUUGUUUGGAGAACGAGGGAAGGGCAAGCCAUUGGUGGCAAGCCGGUCCUUGUGUGGGCACCUCAACAACGUGGACUUAGGCCAGCCUUAGUGGCGACGCCGAACCACGGGAUAAAUAUUGUGUGCUGAUUUAUAUUCUUGCAAUAUUGUUGUUGAGGUGAUUGUAGGGAUUGUGGCUGAUCUACUUGGUGGUACUUGUGUUGCUGCAUAUAUUUGUUAUUCAGUGACUAAUAUAUUUGUAGGAAGCUAGGAAAUUUAUCUGAUCUAAAUUUCCUUGGUUGAAUUUUGAUUUAUACUAAGUUGCUCCUGCGCAGGGCGUCAGUGCCGCCCUCUAAGGCCGGCAGUGCCGCCCUCUAAUCUGAUAGAUUUUUGAGUUGAAACUUUGCAGAUUUGUCACUGGAUAUGUCAAGUACAUCUUCACCAAGUUUGAGCUCCGUUGGACUCACGGUUGCAGAAAGGUAGUGCCGCCCUCAAAGGGAGGCAGUGCCGCCCUGAGUUUUAGUUUUGUUGGAGCAUAAUUUUUUGCAGGCCUAUUCACCCCCCCUCUAGGCCUCCUCGGCAACAUUAACGUCCUUUCAAUUGGUAUCAGAGCAAGGCUCUCAAUUUCGGGCUUAACCGCCUUGAGAGACGAUGUCGACAAGUGAGGAGGUAUCUCUAGAACUUUUACUUUUAUUAGAUGGCUCAAAUUAUACAUCUUGGUCUGCUUGUAUACUUGAUAUUUUUAGGGCCAUGGGUCCUCAAAUAGAGCAGAUUGUAGAUGUAAGUAUUUCACCUCCUAGUGAUAAUUUGGACUAUCUAUCUAGAGAGGAAGUGAAAUGCUUACAAUACAAUGCUCAAGCUACUAAUGUCUUAUUUAGUGCUUUGAGUGAAGAUGUUCUUGAUGCCAUCAUAUUUGGAGAUGGUGAACCACUUGAUGAUGCUCAUGUCAUUUGGACCACGCUCAAAGAAAGAUAUGGCAGCUCCAAAUGUGAUGAGAAGUUGCUCUCAUUGGAGGAACCACUUGAGAGGUGCUCAACUUCACUGACAAAUGAUGAGCCUCAAGUGAUUCUCUCAAAAGGCCUAAUGGAUCAUACCACAUACACUUCCUUGCCAACACAUGACUUAAUUGAUGGUAAUGAAAUGGUUGGUGAGAACAAUGCUUUUACAUGUGGUACUUCUACUUCCUCUAGUUUUUGUUGUUCUAACAUUUUGAAGGAAGGAGAAGCUUGUGAUCGGUGGAGGCCAAAUGAUGAAUCCACCUCACCUACAAGCUCAACUCUCCAUGACACUUCUCCUGUGUGUUUCAUGGCAAAAGGUGAGAAGGUAAAAUCAAAAGCCAAACCUCCUUCACCUCCUAGUGACAUCUCUAGUAGUGAUCUUAGUGAUAGCUCUAGUGAUGAUGAAUCUAGUGAUGAAGAUAUUGAUGACAUAAUUAAAAAUUUGGAUCCUAAGACCAAACUCUUCAUCUCUAAACUAAUGGAGGAUUUAGAGAGCACCCAAGCUGAACUAGCAACUAGAGAUGAUGAUCUUAUUGCACAAGAAAACAUUUAUAUUGCUAGUAAGGAAGCUCUUGCAUUAGAGAGAAAUGAGGUGGCCUCCUUGCACAAGGCUUUGGCUAAAGAGCAAGAUGACCAUGCUCUCACAAAGAAGACAAAUGCUGCACUCAACCAAAAGUAUUGUGGCUUAGAUGAAAAGCACAAAGAGCUUGAGCUGCAAUAUAGUCUUCUUUGGGAGAGCACCUCAAAUCCCUCUAAGGCAAAGGAUGCCUCUACUCCCUCCACUAGCCAAGGUUGUGAAAAAUGCUUUAAUCUUGAUUUGAAUAUUUAUGCCACUAACCUUACUAAUAUGGAGGUCAUGAGAAAGGAGAUUGCUAGACUCAAUGAAAUCAUAGCAGCAUGGUGCAUGAAUGACAAAACUCAAGAUGCUGGAAAGAAAAUUGUGAAUGGCUUUGAAUGUGUGCAGUUUGAGAGGAGGGAGCAGUUUGGUACAGUUCAGCCUGCACAGACCGCGGUAGUGCCGCACCCCAAGGGCGGUAGUGCCGCGCCCCGCAAAAAUGGGAAGGCUACCAAUCUGUCUCUUGAUCAAACUAAGCUCAUAAUGAAAAAGCCUAGGCAGAACAACAAAGCUCCCAAGGCCAUCAAGGUGCAGCAUCAACCAAAGAAGACUCUCAUCACUUGCUUCAAGUGCAAGAAAGAGGGUCACCAUGUGAAAGAUUGCACCUUAAAGAAAGAAGAGAAGAGCAUGAGCAGGAUUCAAGAGAAGAAGAAGAUGGCUCAUGUCAAGUCCUCUAGUAUGGAACAUAAUGCUUUUGUGUGUUCCAACAAGGUUGAUGACCAAGCCACACUUCUAAAGAACAAGACAAGAAGAAGCAAGAGGAAGUGUUAUGAAUGCAAUGAGAAGGGACAUGAAAUUUACUCAUGUCCCAACAAGAAAAGUGAAGGUUUAUCAUCGUCAACAAAGAGGCUCUUUAGCAAGGUGACAAGCAAAAUGCAAGAAAAGAAGGCUAACAAGAACAAGAGCCGCCUAUGCUACACUUGUAGAGAAAAGGGACACCUAAGCAUAAAUUGUCCCACGGGUAACAAUAAUCCUAAGCUCAACUCAUCAAUUGAUUCAAAUAUGCUUAUGAGACCUAAAAAUGACACUUGUGCUAGGAAGGUGAUUGGUUCACCAAGUGGUAGCACAAAGGCCAUUUGGGUACCUAAGUCUCUUGUGACUAACCAUGAUGGACCCAACAUAGUUUGGGUACCAAAUUAUGCUUGAUGAGUGUUGUAGAUACUUGAAGGUGAUAUGAUGCUUCGGGGUGCUUGAGCAAGUUGAUUGAAAAUAUUCACUCAAGCUAUCAACCAAUUCAUAUUGCUUCUUCUUAUAUGGUUGACCCGAAGAUAAAUUAAUGGAAUUAUUUCAAACUUCAUAUUCACCUUGGUAACUAGUACCUAACCCUUGCUAGCUAGCCAUUUGACUUGUGUAGUCUCUGGUAGUUCACAAGUAUGUGUGUAUUUGUGAAUUAUCAAGAGUGGCUAGAGUAUUUCAACUUAAAUGAAUCAUUUGUCAUAUGAUGCUUUUAAUGGCUCUCUAGUAGGGCAAGAUCUUGUUCAUGUUGUAGGUAAUGAGGAAUCACCUUAUGAGGUAAUCAAGAAAAUAGCCACUGAUGAUAUGAGACCAAAGAAGUUCAAGUAACAGUGAUAAGGAUAUACUCAAGCUGCUGCUGCAUCAAUCCGCUGACACCUCUGAUGCGGUAGUGCCGCCCCUCAGAGCGGUAGUGCCGCCCCUAUAUAGAUAGCAGCAGCUGACAUCAGUCCAAAACAUGGAUGAAGCCUACAACAUGAUGAUGAGCAAAGUGAAAAUGAUGAGACCACCUCAUCCAUUAUAUCUCAAGAAGGGUGGUAACAACAAUAUCUCAAGUGCAAUUAUUUUAAAACUAAACUCCUUUGUGUCUUGUGUAGUCACUUAGGAUAAAUGAAGCACUUGGAGAUAUUCAUUGGUUGCUGGUCAUGAAAGAAAAGUAUGAUUGGAAUUGAAUAGAUCAUCCACACCAAGCAACAUAGAUGACUUUAAGGAGUUUCCUCUGUGGACCUCAAACCAAGAAUUUCAAGAAAGCUCAAGUAGAGGCGCUUAUUGUUCACAACAUGAACUCUCUACUUGAUGGAAUCUAGUCAUAUGGUAGAUCGCCCAAAUUCUCAUUUUCAUCUUAUGGGCAUCUACAUGCUGCAAUGGUUGUGAGUAUCUCUUGGCAUAUUUCAAUUACACUAUUUGUUGCCAUGACCUAGACUUAGAGUAAAAUCCCAAGUUCUUAAAUGAAUAAAGUGUUAUAUGAGAAAUUCAAAUACUUAGAGCACUUAUCAUAAGGGAAUUUACUCUAUGACUAGAGUUGUGAGACUAACCAUUUCUCUAAGUGAUUCAUGUAGUCUCACUAAAUGAGAAUGUGUUUCUCAAAUGGAGUGUGCUGUUAUAUGAAGAUCAUUAUUCUAAAACCAUGUGAUAUAUUCUCUCUAGCUAUUUUGGAAUUGAUUCAUCUAUGAUUAGCCACUCAUCAUAAUAUGGCUUAAAUCUGCCCUUUGGACUUAAUUGAUCAAUCAUGCACAUUCAUGUUUCCAUUCCACUCAAAAGAGUGUGUAUGAGACAUCAAGGGAGAUUUAGUCCAUAUUAUGAGGUUUCUCUAUUUAGUGACCCAUUUGCCUUCCACAUAUAAAGGGUUACUAAGUGAGAAACUAGUGCUUGUGUUUCUAAUGACCUUUUUGUGUUGAGCUUGCAUAGGAAAUCAAUAAAAGGUUAUUGUUGGCUAAAUUGAAGAAUUCACAAGCUUUAAGGUUACUCUCCACCUAAAGUAAGAUAUUGCUGCUUCAUAUUGAUCAAAAUCUGAAUUUGAAUGAAAUCAAGUUUGAGGGUUAAAUUGGAUAAGCUAUAUUAGAAGAAUUGACAAGAUGACAAGUAUUGAUAAGAGGACUGCAUGGAAAUUGCAUCUUGUGAGUAUUCUCAACCAAAUCCACCUCAAGAUUGGACAAGAAGCAAAGAAGAGUUGUGAAAUAUCAAAUCUGUCUAGAAAUUUGAAAAUCUGAAUUGGCUGCCUUCAAGCAUGGAUUUGGAAGUCCAAACACUGAUGAAUUGACCUAAAACUUUGUGAGCAUGACACACUUAUCUAAUACUUGUUGCUUUACAGUUUGCAUGAAGAUUGGUUAAGAAGAAAAUCAGUUUUGAGUUGAAUUCUGUCAGCUUCAGCAUUGCAGAUUCAGACCAUAGCAGUUUUGGUAGAAAAAUUCUUUGACUGAUUAAAUGGGAUCCAAAUGAGCUGAAAUUUAUACAGUAGUUAAAGGACUCAUAGAUGAAGACCUCUACAAAAUUUCAUGCAUAUUGGGCUAGUAGUCUGAGAGAUAUGAAAUUUUCUCUGAGGAUGACAGAAUCUAAAAACUAGCAGUUUGAAAUUGGAUUGCAGUAUAACAACAAGAUUCAGUUGGCUCUCAAGUUGGUCAUGAAAAAUUUAUUGAAAAUGAGCAGCAUAAGUUUGGAUAAAGAAGUUUCAUUGGAAGAAGAGAACUCAGACAAGGAUCCAAACAAAUUGCAAUCAGAUUACAAGCAGUAGCAAAUAAUUGCAAUUAGUUGUUAGAAGAAUUCAAAUGCAGUCUUUCAGAAACAGCAGCUAAGAUCAGUUGAAACUUGAUGAAACUAGUUGGCUUCAGCAGUGACAAGUAGCAAACAUGAGUUACAAUCAGAUGGUACUAGCUGAAAUCAAUUGGAAGCAACUGAAACUAGCUGAAACUAAUUAGAUUACAGCAGCCUGAAGGAGUUUGAAACCAGUUGGAAUGCAGUGUAAACUUCUCCCUUGACCUUAUGGUAUUGAUAUGCAUGAGUGUACUCUGUGUACUCUUGUAUGCACACAUUAAGGGGUAGUUUAGACUAUAUCUUGUGAGACUAUUGGUUUCUUUCAAGUGUAUGUUGUGCAGUCCCACACAAUGAAAAAGGAAGAUGGAUGAUUCCAAUGGAUUCUCUAAGUGCUUCACAAUUAUUCUAGGAUCUUGGUUUUUAUAAACCAGGUGCUCCCAGUUUAAUGUCGAAUGCCCCAAUCCUUAGUGGAACUGAAUUUGAAUGAGUUGGAGAAAAUAAUUGAAGAAUGAGCUUUCAUGACUAUUUUUCCUCUCUAGAGCUCUCAAGUGUUUACGACUCAUCUCAUUGAUUACCCAGGAUCUUGUCAACAAAGACUGGUAACUCCUAGUUCAUAAUUUGCAAAUUUCAUGAAUUUUACCUUUUGCUCUCUAUGUGGGUUGCCUUAGGUAAAGAAAGAACUAGGAACAUAAUUUGUAUCUUGGAUGAUCACAAGAGCUCUAAUUCACCACAUGUCAUCAAUUGAGAAAUGCAUGGCCAUCGAAAUCUUUUGAGUCUCACUUAUGAUGGUCAUAUCAAUGAAAAUCUAUGUGGUGAUCUAUAUACCUUGGUGGUGGUAUGUUUUCUUGGCACAAUUUCAAUUGUUGUAAACUUAUGAUACCUUGACCAAGGUAUAGGAUGAACUCCUCUUGACUCUUAAACCGAUUCAAAUGCACUUUGCAAGUAAUUUGAGUACUUGCUGCAUAUAUUAAGGGGGAGUCCAUUCUAUGUCUUGUGUCUUUGAGACUAACCUUUUCUUCUAGUGAAUUUGUGUAGUCUCUUGGUGAGAAUGAGCUUCUCUUGGGUAUGCUACAUUAACUCAAUCCAAAUGGGUAAAGUUAUCUCUCACAUUUACUUGGAUUGCAAUUUUACCACUUAAGUAGCUACUCUCCAUAAUAUAGCUUAAAUUGCCUUAUUUGGACUUAAUUGACCAAAAGUGCAUAUGUUCUUUCCUUCCACACACAUAUAUGUAUGCACUAUCAAAAAGGGGGAAUUUAGUCUAUGUUAUGAGGUUUUGCAAUUAGUGACUUACAUGCCUUCCACAUCCAAAAGGUCACUAGUUGUGAAACUCUAGCUUGUGCAAUUUGAUGUUAUCUCUUGUCUUGUGAGCAUUACCUAGGUGACAAUAUGAGAUACAAGCAUCCCAUCCAAUUGGCAUCAGCUUUUGAAGAUUCCUUCAAUUGGUGUCAAAAUUGUGAAGAUCAUAUUUCAAUUGGUAUUGGUGGAUAAUCUUUCAACCUGUCAUAUCAAGAAAUAUGCCUUCAAUUGGUAUCUCAAAAUGACAACAAGAGCUGGCAAUGGACUUUCCACUGAAAUCAAGCACAAGUUUAUGAUAUUUCCUUCAAGAUGAUGAUCAAGAGAGAUGGGCAUAAAUGAAGUAUUUUGCAUUUUGCCAAGCCCAUCAAAGCACUAAAUUCAUAAUAUCAUGAUCACAGUGGAGAUUAUGAGGUUUAGAACAAAGGUAUAUCGCUCCAUGAACUCUAGUAUUACCUUUGUGCAUCUAGGCCCUUACAUGCUAGUGUGUGCAUGUGUAUGCAAUAUUUGAGCCACACCAUGAGUUUGUUCUUAUGGUGACGAUUAGAGAAUGAUUUAGAUAUUUGGCUGAUACCUCUGUGGUGAUAAAGUGAGUUUGUCUCAUGUUAAAACUAUCAUCUAAGUGAGGUAUGGGCUAAAUAUGCUAACUUCUCAAGAAUCUUGACUUAAGGUGUUGCAUACUUGGUUUGGUAGAAAACUUAGGAGAGAAAUCCUAUAUGCUAAACUUUUACCUACCUCUUGCCCUCAUUUGUCUACCAUUAUUUCUUCCUUUCGGUUGAGAGAUCCUUUUUGGAGAUUAAUGCCAAAGGGGGAGAAAUAUUGGGAGAGAGUGUAAGGGAGAAGAGAUUGAUAUGUGGAUUGAAAGGGGUAAAGGAGAGGCAUAUAAGAUUUUUCAAAUUUUUGUGUGGUGUGUGCAAGGAUAGUUUAUGCUUUUGAUAAGGACCACUUAUGCUAGUGUGAUGUUCAUGCCUUGAGUAGUGGUUGUCUUUACUUCUAGGCUGUUCUGGCAAGUGCGGCAGUGCCGCCCUUAGCUAGCUAGCAAACUUUGAGUGCUUGACCUGCCAUGAGCAUCAUGUUUAUCAUGUUGACACCUUGCACCCCACGGAUGCUAAGACAUAGAAGAGUUUCCACACUUCAUCUUGAAUAUGUGCAUUUGGCAUUUGAGGCCAAAACAUGAAAUUCUACUCUAUGCACAUAUUUAAGGGGAGCUCACUAUAUCAUAGGAUUCAAAAUCUUAAUGUUUAUCAAUCUCUUGUAAGCUUUAAUUGUGUUGUCAUCAAUCACCAAAAAGGGGGAGAUUGAAAGUGCAUCUAGCCCUUUGUGGGUUUUGGUGAAUUGAAUGACAACAUGAUUAAAGGUCUAAUAAGUUUGCUAAGUGUUGAACAGGAUAUUGAGUCUAUUGCACAUACUUGUGGAUUGUGUAUUAACAAGUAUGUUCAAGGCUCAACAAGCAGGCAAACUUAAUGAUAUGCCACAUAGUGUUGAAAUGAAGGCCAAAUUGUGUAUUGUCGUAUUAGAGGAUUAUGGAAACAAUCUAGGUCAAGCAAAAGACAACAAUGCAAAUAAAAUCUAUGGAAUGGCUUAUAUGCUGUGGGAUAUCAUAACAUCAUGAGAAAGCAAGCAUAUUUGACAAAUGGCAAAAGAGACAUGUGUUGAUGUUCUUGGAUUGGUCUCUACAAUGGCUUGCUUUUCAUGAACAAGAAGAGCUUGAUAAUGAACUAGGUUUGAUCAAGCUAGAAGUAUGAAGAUAAAGAUUGAAGUGAGUAUUGAGUGUCAAGCCAAAAUAGAGAGGAUAUAAGGAACUGUGAAUUGGCUUGACCAUAUUGAUGUUGAUCCAUAUAUGUCUCUAUGUGAGUCAAACUGAAUCUUGAUUGAUCUCAAUAUUUAUAUCUAGAAGAUAUUCAAGCAAGAAUCACAAUAUUGAAGAAAUGAUUAUUCAAUGGAUGCUUAAUGUGAUAUGACUUGAGUAUGGCUUGAUAAGGUGAAGAUAGCAAGGAAAGGGCUUCGAGGGACUAAGCGAAGGUGAAGGGAUAAGCGACGGCUUAAGGACCGAGGUACCAUGGCUAAGGUGAAGAAGAGAGUACUUGCAUUGAGUCGAGGAACUAAUCAAGCUAUGAGGAGUCAUAUUGUGUUGAGAAUCAAAUAAUUAGUAGAAGUGACUUGAAGCCAUAGAGGUGAACUCAUAUGUGUUGAAAUGGGUCAAGUCACAUGCUCAAGGUGUGUUUGCUCAAGAAACGGAGACAAAGUUGAUUGCACCCCUUUAUGGAGUAAUAUUGAGAAGAAAUGGCAUAUGAAGACAUUGAAGACUCAAGUGGUUAAAUUAGUUAUAUUCUCUUGUUCUUGAUUAUAGGUAUGCCGUACUAUCAAGGGGGAUGCAAUACGAAUGAUAGACAAGUCUCAAGUGCUCAAACUAACCGAACCCAAGUGCUAACAUGAGAGAAAACACUUAGCACUGCACCUGCACAAGUUGAUCUUGGAGUUUGUUCUCUGCAGGGUUGGAUAGCCCUUGAAACAAGCUUUCCGAAAAGUCCAAGAUCACAGCAAACGGAGUUCGGAGUAAAAAGUUAUGACUUUUUCCGUAAGGUGACCUGUGCUGUUUUUAUAAGGGCGGCAGUGCCACCCAUGAAGGGCGGCAGUGUCGCCCCUGUACAGUCACAACGGCUAGUUUUCGAAUCCUAACGGCUAGUUUGAGUGGGAUGAGUAUAUAUACUCAUCCCACUGCUUCUGGUCGUGCUGCUGAUGCUUCAGACUUUCCAAAGCCAUUCCAAAGCCUCUCCCCAACCCUCUCUUUGUGAGAGUGAAGUGCUUAGUGCACAAUUUAGUGUUGGGGCUGUGUGAUUAAGAGCUUGAGAGUAGAUUAGAGCAAUCCUAACCUUGAGCACUUGCUGGGCUUCGUCGAUCUUCAUUGUGCAUUUGUUACUCUUGGAGGUGAAGCCUCCUAGACGGCUAGGCGUUGCUCGGCUAGCUCCCGUGCUUAUGGCGAGCAGCGGGACAGUUUGUAAGUUCUUGCAGCUAGUGAAAUCACCCCUCCUUCAAGAGGUAACACUCUUGUUUGGAGAAUGAGGGAAGGGCAAGCCAUUGGUGGCAAGCCGGUCCUUGUGUGGGCACCUCAACAACGUGGACUUAGGCCAGCCUUAGUGGCGACGCCGAACCACGGGAUAAAUAUUGUGUGCUGAUUUAUAUUCUUGCAAUAUUGUUGUUGAGGUGAUUGUAGGGAUUGUGGCUGAUCUACUUGGUGAUACUUGUGUUGCUGCAUAUAUUUGUUAUUCAGUGACUAACAUACUUGUAGGAAGCUAGAAAAUUUAUCUGAUCUAAAUUUCCUUGGUUGAAUUUUGAUUUAUACUAAGUUGCUCCUGCGCAGGGCGUCAGUGCCGCCCUCUAAGGCCGGCAGUGCCGCCCUCUAAUCUGAUAGAUUUUUGAGUUGAAACUUUGCAGAUUUGUCACUGGAUAUCUCAAGUACAUCUUCACCAAGUUUGAGCUCCGUUGGACUUACGGUUGCAGAAAGGCAGUGCCGCCCUCAAAGGGAGGCAGUGCCGCCCUGAGUUUUAGUUUUGUUGGAGCAUAAUUUUUUGCAGGCCUAUUCACCCCCCUUCUAGGCCUCCUCGGCAACAUCAAGGUCCUUUCAGGAGGCACCCGGCCACGGCGGCGCUCACCGUGACGGCGCUGUGGUGCACGGGAGGCCGUGCCGAGGGCACCAGCGUGCUCGUCCCGGCAAGGCGAGCGCGAUGCGCGCGUCUACGAGGACAGGAAGGAGCCGGGAAGGCGCGUGCGCGUGGCGGGGCGGCUCGGCGGCGUGAACGAAACUUCGGCGAGGUUAUGCGGCGCGCAAGGAGGGAGAUAUAGAGCGAGAGGAGGUGCCGGGGCUUCCUCACCUUGCUGCGAAGGUCGUGGCGGCGUCGUUAUUGGCUGAGACACCGGGAAACGGAGAUCGACGGCGGCGGCUUGGACCUCGGGGAUGGAGGCUAUGUCGGCGACGCGAUUAGGGCACGGAGUGGCGGCGACGCUCGAUUAGGGUUCGAAGGGGGCGCAGGGGGUUCGGCAUGGCCGUCUUAUAGGCGCGGCCAUCCUCGGUUCGCGUGUGGGCGCUCGGAUCGAGCGAACGGCGGCGGUGGCUCACCCCGCGCGAUGCGGGCGGGAGGUUAGGGACGUCCAGCGCGGCUGACAGGUGGGGUCAGGGCGUCAGCGGCACAGUGCGGGCUGGCAGGCGGGUCCCACGUGGCAGUGGCUCGGGGCGCAGCGGGCGAGCGGGGUCCGCCUGGCAG
Molecule: long non-coding RNA, 11052 nt
Filed under: Sorghum bicolor (sorghum)
Lineage: Eukaryota; Viridiplantae; Streptophyta; Magnoliopsida; Poales; Poaceae
Description: long non-coding RNA (SBIC_LNC017195)
Source: RNAcentral